This 39-nucleotide unclassified non-coding RNA is filed under the name Penicillium rubens Wisconsin 54-1255. RNAcentral's name for it is "small non coding RNA". The record is from RNAcentral. Lineage: Eukaryota; Fungi; Ascomycota; Eurotiomycetes; Eurotiales; Aspergillaceae.
GAUCAGGGUGGAUCAUGCUCUUGCUCAGUGAGCAUGAUC